UGAGGUAGUAGGUUGUAUGGUUUGUGGGAUGGAGUAAAUCCUACUCAGGGGAUAACUAUACAACCUACUGCCUUCC
This 76-nucleotide microRNA precursor is filed under the name Paralichthys olivaceus (Japanese flounder). RNAcentral describes it as "let-7a stem-loop (pol-let-7a)". Its record names the gene pol-let-7a. It matches the Rfam family "let-7 microRNA precursor family", at positions 7 to 78 of the family's 84-position model. From Rfam's summary of the family: This family represents the microRNAs (miRNA) let-7 and mir-98. let-7 was identified from a study of developmental timing in C. elegans, and was later shown to be part of a much larger class of non-coding RNAs termed miRNAs. The extents of the hairpin precursors are not generally known and are estimated based on hairpin prediction. The products are thought to have regulatory roles through complementarity to mRNA. The record is from miRBase by way of RNAcentral. Lineage: Eukaryota; Metazoa; Chordata; Actinopteri; Pleuronectiformes; Paralichthyidae.